CUCCGUUGUAGCGCCUACUUUCGGAGUAUGGAGCCUCGAAUAGUUCCAAACAACCAUUUUACGGCGUAGGAGAUCAUCCAUUUCCAUUGCUGGCCGUCGAGUAACUUCUGAGUUGCCUUAUUAGGUCCUCCAGUCGCCCCAUCAGUCCCUGGCAGUCUGGUCCCUGGAGCAGCUGGCCCUGGAUCACCUGCACCUGGAUCACCUGCCCCUGGAUCACCUGCCCCUGGAUCACCUGCCACUGGAUCACCUACCCCUGGAUCACCUGCCCCUGGAUCACCUGCCCCUGGAUCACCUGCCCCUGGCAAAGUGGCCUCUGGAUUGCUCUCUGUGUCUCCUGUCAUGUCCUUUUCAUCGCUCUUGAAAUCCACCUCAAUUUCUCCCUCAAUCUUUGUAAUAAUUACAAGGUAAUUUUGCUGUUAUAUGUAUUUUCCCUUUGCAUUUGCAACUACUGUCAUCUCCAAUGUAAGCCAAUGUAAGAACAUGUAUUAAAGCAAAUCAUUUCUGUAAUGUGAAUUAAAUCAUCUGCCACAAUCAGAAACCAAUAAAAUGUAUAAAUGGAUCUACCGGCAAUUGUUAAUUGGGUAGAAAUGUGUCGAUUAUCUACAUUGUGUGCAAAUCCUCAGAGAAUCCCUGACCUCUGGUUGUUUUUUAAACUGAAUGUACAAAUAUGAAUUAUGUAUUCUCAUUAGGAGUGUAGUCUAUCCUUGAAUUACAUGAAAUGGGGAAUAUUGUUAGCUGCAUGGAUCAUACCGAAGUUUAAUUUGGUGAAAUAUGUGUGGUCCGUUGCACUUGGUUCGGG
This 799-nucleotide long non-coding RNA is filed under the name Gadus morhua (Atlantic cod). RNAcentral's name for it is "lncRNA (ENSGMOG00000024753.1)". The record is from RNAcentral. Lineage: Eukaryota; Metazoa; Chordata; Actinopteri; Gadiformes; Gadidae.